Molecule: ribosomal RNA, 550 nt
Filed under: uncultured bacterium
Lineage: Bacteria
Description: bacterial SSU rRNA
Rfam family: Bacterial small subunit ribosomal RNA
Source: RNAcentral
UAGGGAAUCUUCGGCAAUGGGGGGAACCCUGACCGAGCAACGCCGCGUGAGUGAAGAAGGUUUUCGGAUCGUAAAGCUCUGUUGUAAGAGAAGAACGAGUGUGAGAGUGGAAAGUUCACACUGUGACGGUAUCUUACCAGAAAGGGACGGCUAACUACGUGCCAGCAGCCGCGGUAAUACGUAGGUCCCGAGCGUUGUCCGGAUUUAUUGGGCGUAAAGCGAGCGCAGGCGGUUAGAUAAGUCUGAAGUUAAAGGCUGUGGCUUAACCAUAGUACGCUUUGGAAACUGUUUAACUUGAGUGCAAGAGGGGAGAGUGGAAUUCCAUGUGUAGCGGUGAAAUGCGUAGAUAUAUGGAGGAGCACCGGUGGCGAAAGCGGCUCUCUGGCUUGUAACUGACGCUGAGGCUCGAAAGCGUGGGGAGCAAACAGGAUUAGAUACCCUGGUAGUCCACGCCGUAAACGAUGAGUGCUAGGUGUUAGACCCUUUCCGGGGUUUAGUGCCGCAGCUAACGCAUUAAGCACUCCGCCUGGGGAGUACGACCGCAAGGUUG